GGAUAGUUUAUCAUGAACUAUCAUAUAAAUAAGAUUGAUAGCAUUUUGUCCGAGUUGUUGAAUAUAUCGGUGACAGCUAAGGGCAUCUUAAAAAGUUUAAGGGGAACGAUUCUUACUGUGGAGCAGGCUUCUUUCAAGAGAAAGUCUACUAGAAAGAAAAAGAAUAAAAAAUCUGUGAACAAGCAAAAGAUCGAGAGCGGAAAGAAGAAGAAAGCUCC
This 218-nucleotide long non-coding RNA is filed under the name Elaeis guineensis (African oil palm). Its description in RNAcentral is "long non-coding RNA (EGUI_LNC014547)". Lineage: Eukaryota; Viridiplantae; Streptophyta; Magnoliopsida; Arecales; Arecaceae. The record is from RNAcentral.